AAACCAACAGGGAUUGCCCUAGUAACGGCGAGUGAAGCGGCAACAGCUCAAAUUUGAAAGCUAGCCUUCGGGUUCGCAUUGUAAUUUGUAGAGGAUGCUUUGGGUGAAACGCCAGUCUAAGUUCCUUGGAACAGGACGUCAUAGAGGGUGAGA
This 153-nucleotide ribosomal RNA is filed under the name uncultured Aureobasidium. RNAcentral describes it as "partial 26S ribosomal RNA". It matches the Rfam family "Eukaryotic large subunit ribosomal RNA", at positions 62 to 217 of the family's 3401-position model. The record is from RNAcentral. Lineage: Eukaryota; Fungi; Ascomycota; Dothideomycetes; Dothideales; Dothioraceae.